RNAcentral lists this ribosomal RNA (230 nucleotides) under uncultured bacterium. RNAcentral's name for it is "partial 16S ribosomal RNA". It matches the Rfam family "Bacterial small subunit ribosomal RNA", at positions 524 to 753 of the family's 1533-position model. The record is from RNAcentral.
GACGAAGGGGGCUAGCGUUGUUCGGAAUUACUGGGCGUAAAGCGCGUGUAGGCGGUUGUUCAAGUCAGGUGUGAAAGCCUUGAGCUCAACUCAAGAAAUGCACUUGAUACUGGAUGACUAGAGGACCGGAGAGGAUAGUGGAAUUCCCAGUGUAGUGGUGAAAUACGUAGAGAUUGGGAAGAACACCAGUGGCGAAGGCGGCUAUCUGGACGGUUUCUGACGCUAAGACG